This 253-nucleotide long non-coding RNA is filed under the name Crocodylus porosus (Australian saltwater crocodile). RNAcentral's name for it is "lncRNA (ENSCPRG00005000833.1)". Lineage: Eukaryota; Metazoa; Chordata; Crocodylia; Crocodylidae. The record is from RNAcentral.
ACCAGCUUAGUCAUUUGAUUCUGACACCUGCCUGCACACCAGGCAGUAUCUGAUCCAGAGAAAUUGAUGGAAACCUUUGAAAGCUUCCUGUUGACUUCAAAAACCAUAAUUGGGCUUGAAAAAUAGAUUUGAGUUCCACUUAAUUGUAUCCUCUCUUCAUUCCAUAUUCAAUGAACCUGGAUUACUCUCUGUCUACAUUUUGAAAGGAGCACACAGAUGGAAACAACAUGAUCUCUACAGAAAACUAUCCCGU